Molecule: ribosomal RNA, 1438 nt
Filed under: Limosilactobacillus fermentum
Lineage: Bacteria; Bacillati; Bacillota; Bacilli; Lactobacillales; Lactobacillaceae
Description: bacterial SSU rRNA
Rfam family: Bacterial small subunit ribosomal RNA
Source: RNAcentral
GCAGUCGAACGCGUUGGCCCAAUUGAUUGACGGUGCUUGCACCUGAUUGAUUUUGGUCGCCAACGAGUGGCGGACGGGUGAGUAACACGUAGGUAACCUGCCCAGAAGCGGGGGACAACAUUUGGAAACAGAUGCUAAUACCGCAUAACAGCGUUGUUCGCAUGAACAACGCUUAAAAGAUGGCUUCUCGCUAUCACUUCUGGAUGGACCUGCGGUGCAUUAGCUUGUUGGUGGGGUAACGGCCUACCAAGGCGAUGAUGCAUAGCCGAGUUGAGAGACUGAUCGGCCACAAUGGGACUGAGACACGGCCCAUACUCCUACGGGAGGCAGCAGUAGGGAAUCUUCCACAAUGGGCGCAAGCCUGAUGGAGCAACACCGCGUGAGUGAAGAAGGGUUUCGGCUCGUAAAGCUCUGUUGUUAAAGAAGAACACGUAUGAGAGUAACUGUUCAUACGUUGACGGUAUUUAACCAGAAAGUCACGGCUAACUACGUGCCAGCAGCCGCGGUAAUACGUAGGUGGCAAGCGUUAUCCGGAUUUAUUGGGCGUAAAGAGAGUGCAGGCGGUUUUCUAAGUCUGAUGUGAAAGCCUUCGGCUUAACCGGAGAAGUGCAUCGGAAACUGGAUAACUUGAGUGCAGAAGAGGGUAGUGGAACUCCAUGUGUAGCGGUGGAAUGCGUAGAUAUAUGGAAGAACACCAGUGGCGAAGGCGGCUACCUGGUCUGCAACUGACGCUGAGACUCGAAAGCAUGGGUAGCGAACAGGAUUAGAUACCCUGGUAGUCCAUGCCGUAAACGAUGAGUGCUAGGUGUUGGAGGGUUUCCGCCCUUCAGUGCCGGAGCUAACGCAUUAAGCACUCCGCCUGGGGAGUACGACCGCAAGGUUGAAACUCAAAGGAAUUGACGGGGGCCCGCACAAGCGGUGGAGCAUGUGGUUUAAUUCGAAGCUACGCGAAGAACCUUACCAGGUCUUGACAUCUUGCGCCAACCCUAGAGAUAGGGCGUUUCCUUCGGGAACGCAAUGACAGGUGGUGCAUGGUCGUCGUCAGCUCGUGUCGUGAGAUGUUGGGUUAAGUCCCGCAACGAGCGCAACCCUUGUUACUAGUUGCCAGCAUUAAGUUGGGCACUCUAGUGAGACUGCCGGUGACAAACCGGAGGAAGGUGGGGACGACGUCAGAUCAUCAUGCCCCUUAUGACCUGGGCUACACACGUGCUACAAUGGACGGUACAACGAGUCGCGAACUCGCGAGGGCAAGCAAAUCUCUUAAAACCGUUCUCAGUUCGGACUGCAGGCUGCAACUCGCCUGCACGAAGUCGGAAUCGCUAGUAAUCGCGGAUCAGCAUGCCGCGGUGAAUACGUUCCCGGGCCUUGUACACACCGCCCGUCACACCAUGAGAGUUUGUAACACCCAAAGUCGGUGGGGUAACCUUUAGGAGCCAGC